CCUACGGGAGACAGCAGUGGGGAAUAUUGCACAAUGGGGGAAACCCUGAUGCAGCGACGCCGCGUGAGUGAAGAAGUAUUUCGGUAUGUAAAGCUCUAUCAGCAGGGAAGAGAAUGACGGUACCUGAGUAAGAAGCCCCGGCUAACUACGUGCCAGCAGCCGCGGUAAUACGUAGUGGGCAAGCGUUAUCCGGAUUUACUGGGUGUAAAGGGAGCGGAGACGGCGAAGAAAGUCAGAAGUGAAAGCCCGCGGCUCAACCGCGGAACUGCUUUGGAAACUUUUUUGCUGGAGUACCGGAGAGGUAAGCGGAAUUCCUAGUGUAGCGGUGAAAUGCGUAGAUAUUAGGAGGAACACCAGUGGCGAAGGCGGCUUACUGGACGGUAACUGACGUUGAGGCUCGAAAGCGUGGGGAGCAAACAGGAUUAGAUACCCCUGUAGUC
Molecule: ribosomal RNA, 440 nt
Filed under: uncultured bacterium
Lineage: Bacteria
Description: partial 16S ribosomal RNA
Rfam family: Bacterial small subunit ribosomal RNA
Source: RNAcentral